AGGCUGAGCUGUGAUGGGGAGAAGACAUUGUGUCUUCGAGUCGUUGAUUUCACACUGCCGAGAAAAGCCUCUAGAUAGAAAAUAGGUGCCCGUACCGCAAACCGACACAGGUAGUCAAGAUGAGAAUUCUAAGGUGAGCGAGCGAACUCUCGUUAAGGAACUCGGCAAAAUGACCCCGUAACUUCGGGAGAAGGGGUGCUCUUUAGGGUUAACGCCCAGAAGAGCCGCAGUGAAUAGGCCCAAGCGACUGUUUAUCAAAAACACAGGUCUCUGCUAAACCGUAAGGUGAUGUAUAGGGGCUGACGCCUGCCCGGUGCUGGAAGGUUAAGAGGAGUGGUUAGCUUCUGCGAAGCUACGAAUCGAAGCCCCAGUAAACGGCGGCCGUAACUAUAACGGUCCUAAGGUAGCGAAAUUCCUUGUCGGGUAAGUUCCGACCCGCACGAAAGGCGUAACGAUUUGGGCACUGUCUCAACGAGAGACUCGGUGAAAUCAUAGUACCUGUGAAGAUGCAGGUUACCCGCGACAGGACGGAAAGACCCCGUGGAGCUUUACUGUAGCCUGAUAUUGAAAUUCGGCACAGCUUGUACAG
Molecule: ribosomal RNA, 589 nt
Rfam family: Bacterial large subunit ribosomal RNA